RNAcentral lists this ribosomal RNA (484 nucleotides) under uncultured bacterium. RNAcentral describes it as "partial 16S ribosomal RNA". It matches the Rfam family "Bacterial small subunit ribosomal RNA", at positions 30 to 507 of the family's 1533-position model. The record is from RNAcentral.
AUUGAACGCUGGCGGCAGGCCUAACACAUGCAAGUCGAGCGGUUGAAGGGAGCUUGCUCCUGGAUUCAGCGGCGGACGGGUGAGUAAUGCCUAGGAAUCUGCCUGGUAGUGGGGGAUAACGUCCGGAAACGGGCGCUAAUACCGCAUACGUCCUGAGGGAGAAAGUGGGGGAUCUUCGGACCUCACGCUAUCAGAUGAGCCUAGGUCGGAUUAGCUAGUUGGUGGGGUAAAGGCCUACCAAGGCGACGAUCCGUAACUGGUCUGAGGGGAUGAUCAGUCACACUGGAACUGAGACACGGUCCAGACUCCUACGGGAGGCAGCAGUGGGGAAUAUUGGACAAUGGGCGAAAGCCUGAUCCAGCCAUGCCGCGUGUGUGAAGAAGGUCUUCGGAUUGUAAAGCACUUUAAGUUGGGAGGAAGGGCAGUAAGUUAAUACCUUGCUGUUUUGACGUUACCAACAGAAUAAGCACCGGCUAACUUCGUG